Brassica rapa (field mustard) is the source of this 732-nucleotide long non-coding RNA. RefSeq lists it as uncharacterized. The record is from RefSeq and is a predicted model, not a curated record. NCBI's taxonomy places the organism in Eukaryota, Viridiplantae, Streptophyta, Magnoliopsida, Brassicales, Brassicaceae.
ACAAUCUUAGUCUCUAGCUUCGUGUCAUUGAAAGUUUGAUACUUUUGUCGCUUAACUUCUAUUUCUUGUUAGAGAUUGGUUUAGUGCUUAGUCUGAGAGAAUUUCAAGCUCUUGUAUUUCUCUUAACUUCUAGAAGAUCAUAUUGGUGUUGACAUAGUAGAUAUGGAAGCUUAAAGUUCAAUUCUUUUGGAUACAGAUUCGUCUCUUUUAUAAAAGGUCAUUUAUCGGAUUAAGCUACCAGGACCUGCAAUACUAGGAGAGUUCUGUUGCCUGUUAACAAGAGAGGACUGUUACAUUCCCCAAAACCUGAUCUCUGUCAGAAAGUAUCAAGCUUUGAGCUUGAUGAUUCUCUAGUUCAUUGUGUUCUUCCAAGAUUUGAGGUAGAAGAUGUAGUAGUUCAAAGAGAGGAAGUUCGCAGAGAAUGUGGUAAAGGUUUCACUUCUUCUAAAGCUCUUUGUGGUCACAUGGCUUGUCACUUUGAGAGAGAGAAGAGGGUGUCAUGUUCUCAUUUUUUUCAGGUCAAGAAGAGUGUAAAGUCGUUAGUCAUCAGUCAUGAACUUGUGUAGGAAUCACUUGUGCAAUGCUUACGUACUAACUCUUGUAAUUUAAGAACUCUAAUUAAGAAACUCCCAUUGGACUGCUCAAAAUGGAAGUUUCUUAACCAGAAUUCUUAACCCCACUUAAGUACAUUUAUAAUAUUAAAUAAUCAUAAAGAAACCUACUUAAGGAUCA